This 210-nucleotide long non-coding RNA is filed under the name Homo sapiens (human). RNAcentral describes it as "HSALNT0126435". The record is from RNAcentral. Lineage: Eukaryota; Metazoa; Chordata; Mammalia; Primates; Hominidae.
AUGCUGGAAGAAGGACAAUGGAAAAGUGCCUUCAAGAUUCUGAAGAAUAAUGAUUUCUAACCUGGCAUGGGAUACCUAGCUAAGCUAUCAACUCAAGGUGUGAUCCAGGAUGGCUCGGAAGCACUCCCAGUCCUCGACUGGGGCCAGAAGAGCAGCGUGCAGAGACGCAAGAAGGCAGGCAGGGGACAGGGACAGGAAGAAAAGGAGGGA